This 423-nucleotide ribosomal RNA is filed under the name uncultured bacterium. RNAcentral's name for it is "bacterial SSU rRNA". It matches the Rfam family "Bacterial small subunit ribosomal RNA", at positions 202 to 622 of the family's 1533-position model. The record is from RNAcentral.
AAGACCUUGUGCUUUUGGAGCGGCCGAUGCCUGAUUAGCUAGUUGGUGGGGUAAAGGCCUACCAAGGCUACGAUCAGUAGUUGGUCUGAGAGGACGACCAGCCACACUGGGACUGAGACACGGCCCAGACUCCUACGGGAGGCAGCAGUGGGGAAUUUUGGACAAUGGGCGAAAGCCUGAUCCAGCAAUGCCGCGUGAGUGAAGAAGGCCUUCGGGUUGUAAAGCUCUUUCAGUCGAGAAGAAAAGGUUGUGACUAAUAAUCACAAUUCAUGACGGUAUCGACAGAAGAAGCACCGGCUAACUACGUGCCAGCAGCCGCGGUAAUACGUAGGGUGCAAGCGUUAAUCGGAAUUACUGGGCGUAAAGGGUGCGCAGGCGGCUUUGUAAGUCAGAUGUGAAAUCCCCGGGCUUAACCUGGGAAUU